This is a non-coding RNA of Triticum urartu, 125 nucleotides long. The record is from Rfam. NCBI's taxonomy places the organism in Eukaryota, Viridiplantae, Streptophyta, Magnoliopsida, Poales, Poaceae.
UUUAUACUUCCUCCGUUCGAAAAUACUUGUCAGAGAAAUGGAUGUAUCUAAACAUAUUUUAAUUCUAAAUACAACCAUUUUUAUCCAUCUUUUCGACAAGUAUUUCCGGACGGAGGGAAUAUUUA